RNAcentral lists this ribosomal RNA (253 nucleotides) under uncultured bacterium. RNAcentral's name for it is "partial 16S ribosomal RNA". It matches the Rfam family "Bacterial small subunit ribosomal RNA", at positions 524 to 776 of the family's 1533-position model. The record is from RNAcentral.
UACAGAGGGUGCAAGCGUUAUUCGGAAUCACUGGGCGUAAAGGGCGUGUAGGCGGUUUGGUAAGUCUGAUGUGAAAGCCCCGGUCUCAAAUCGGGAAGUGCAUUAGAUACUGCUAAACUAGAGUGCAGGAGAGGAGAUCGGAAUUCCAGGUGUAGAGGUGAAAUUCGUAGAUAUCUGGAGGAACAACAGUGGCGAAGGCGGAUCUCUGGACUGUUACUGACGCUGAGGCGCGAAAGCGUGGGGAGCAAACAGG